This 1301-nucleotide ribosomal RNA is filed under the name uncultured organism. Its description in RNAcentral is "bacterial SSU rRNA". It matches the Rfam family "Bacterial small subunit ribosomal RNA", at positions 153 to 1466 of the family's 1533-position model. The record is from RNAcentral.
GAAAGGGGCGGUAAUACCAGAUAAUGUCCUUCGGGACCAAAGAUUUAUCGGCAUUGGAGCGGCCUAUCUCCUAUCAGCUUGUUGGUGAGGUAACGGCUCACCAAGGCAACGACGGGUAGCGGGACUGAGAGGUUGGCCCGCCACAUCGGGACUGAGACACUGCCCGGACCUCCACGGAGGGCUGCAGUAACGGAUAUUGGGCAAUGGGCGAAAGCCUGACCCAGCAAUGCCGCGUGCAGGAUGAAGCCCCUAGGGGUGUAAACUGCUGUCAGGGGUCAGAAAGCUGGUUUCGGCCAGUUGAUCAACCCCAGAGGAAGUCACGGCUAACUUCGUGCCAGCAGCCGCGGUAAUACGAAGGUGGCAAGCGUUAUUCGGAAUCAUUGGGCUUAAAGGGCACGCAGGCGGAACAGUGUGUGUUGUGUGAAAUCCCCCGGCUUAACCGGGGAAUUGCACAGCAAACUGCUGUUCUUGAGGCAGGUAGGGGUGCACGGAACUCUUGGUGGAGCGGUGGAAUGCGUAGAUAUCAAGAGGAACGCCAGAGGUGAAGACGGUGCACUGGACCUGUCCUGACGCUGAGGUGCGAAAGCGUGGGGAGCGAACGGGAUUAGAUACCCCGGUAGUCCACGCCGUAAACGAUGUCUACUAGGUCGUGGGUGUUCUGACACAUUCACGGCCGGAGCAAAUGUGUUUAGUAGACCGCCUGGGGAGUACGGCCGCAAGGUUAAAACUCAAAUGAAUUGACGGGGGCUCACACAAGCGGUGGAGCAUGUGGAUUAAUUCGAAGCAACGCGCAGAACCUUACCUGGGUUUGACAUGCUUGGAUGCCUGCUCUGAAAGGAGUUAGGCUGCCUUCGGGUGAAACUUGCACAGGUGCUGCAUGGCUGUCGUCAGCUCGUGUCGUGAGAUGUCGGGUUAAGUCCUUUAACGAGCGAAACCCUUGCCGUUAGUUGCCAGCGAGUAAUGUCGGGGACUCUAACGGGACUGCCGGUGUUAAACCGGAGGAAGGUGGGGAUGACGUCAAGUCCUCAUGGCCUUUAUGCCCAGGGCUUCACACGUGCUACAAAGGCAAUUUACAGAGCGACGCGAUACCGCGAGGUGGAGCAAAUCGCAAAAAAAUUGCCUCAGUUCGGAUUGCAGGCUGGCAAUUCGCCUGCAUGAAGUCGGAAUCGCUAGUAAUCGCGUAUCAGCAAUGACGCGGUGAAUGUGUUCCUGAGCAUUGUACACACCGCCCGUCAAGUGAUGGAGCCGGGAGUACCCGAAGUCGGGUUGCUAACCUUUGGGAGGCGCCUGCCGACGGUAAG